UUUUCAACGUUUUGGCUUGUAGACAAAUCGGUAAGACAUGCAAAACUUUUUUUCAUUAGCUUAGGUGUUCCUCCUUUGCCAGUUUUAUAUUGUGAAUGUAUGUAAAAGUAAUUUUAUCUAUUUAAGGAAAACAAGUGGCAUUAAUUAUAAAAAUUUAAAGAAGAAAAAUUGAAAGUAAAUAAAUGAAUUAGCGGCAUUAUUUUUUAGAGUUCUGAAAAAUGUACCACUUGGUAAUCAAAAAUACAAAAAACUUAUAAUGCAAUAGCCUACUGUGCCAAUUUGAUAUGGCUAAGAAGCUAAAGCAAACGACACACUCCCUACACUUCAAUCUCCAGUUCUGCAAAAUGUGUUCCUCACGUAAUCUGAUUCGAUGCAUGUUUCACCCUCCAGGACACAUUUGUGUUUACGAAUCCAUGAAUACAACACAAGACAUAUUUAAACAGCAUCUCAGUCCCAAUACAACAGAAGUGACUAAAGUAUUCAGCAGCAGUAGCAUCACAGAAGGUAUUAAGAAUGAAACCUCAUACCUCUAUAUUGUGUAUGGAUUAGUAGGAGUUGGAGUGUUUGGAGUCUGUCUUUUCCUGUUCCUGGCCUGGAAGACCAAGAAAAGUAAAGAAUCUGUGAUCCUCAUGAAAUACGACGACCAGCCAACGCAGGACUUGGACUCAGAGCCAGACUACGUGAAUCAGAUGGAAGAGAGUGGCCAUGACUACUGCAGUGUGGACCUGCAUGCUGCAGAUGAGGAUUCAGCAAGUGAGGAUGAUGAUUAUGUUAACACAAACACAAUGAUAGCCUGUGAAGCCUACCACAGUGACAGUGACAGUGAACCAGACUAUGAGAACUCUGCAUAUCUUGAAAAGCAGACUAAUUAAACAACAAGGUUGUAAUGCAGGAAAGACCAUAUGCCAUAGUCACUCGGGGCAUGCCUGGGCUGUAGAGAUGCACAAAAACCUUUUCUAGCUGUAUUUGUAGCCUUUGAAAAGAUUGCAUAAAUCACUUUUCAUUGACAGCCUUGUGUUUGGCAAACAUGCACAGAAAAGAAGAAUCUAUUAUGAAAGGUGACCUCAGAUGAAGCAGCGGGGUUGAAGUCCUAGGUUCAUCAAUACACCUCAGAGGCAAACCAGUAUGUGUUUGUAGAUGCACUGAACUUCAUUGUUUUCUGAAAUUCUAGUUUUAACUUUUAUAUCACACAUCUUGAGCCAGAAUUGGCAAAGCAGCUGCUAGUAGGAAUUGCUCAGUCUCAUUGUGAAAGAUGGGUGGGUAACACUGAGGGACAGCAGAAUGGUUUAGCAAUAUGACUUAGCAUAAAGUAUAAGCAUUAACUGAAGUGUGACGUUCCCUUUGUAACACAGAAUUUUGUCGUACUGAGAUUCUAUUUGUGUUUAUACUAACCAGGUCCUUGAGAAGGAAAGCCUUCAAGACCUGAUUGGUCAAACACUUAAUUCCCCGAUAUAACACUCAGUGCAACUUCUACAGAGAACUGUAAUCAAUGCUAAGUCAUUGUAGUAUUUUAAUGGUGACAAAGCUGGCAUAGUUAUUUAUGAAUGAUAAAUAUGAAUAUAGUGUCAUUAGUAUUAGCUCAGGGAAAUGGUCAACAGAGCAAAGGUGACACCCAAAUGCCCGGUGAAGCUGUAGCUAAUACUAUUAUUAGUGUUGGUAAUAGAUAUUACUGUGUGUCAGUGAGCUAUAACUGCAGAGGAAGGCCAUGUAGCUGCUCCUGUUUCCUCCUUGCAGCACAACUAGCCUCUACACUCCUACUCUGUCCCAGGAGCUGGUUUUCACUGACUGGGGAAGGUGCAAGAUGAUAUAGUUUGGAUUUGACAGUCUAGGUACAAAAAUUGCUGUGUUACAUCUUGCCACAUUACUUACCAUAUUGAAAAUGCACACACAACAAUACAUCCCAUCCCUGACUUAAUGGGGUGAACCCAUUCUGUGAAAAUGCCAUCAGGGGAUGUACCUAAAAGAAAUGUUUCACCAAAAAUGAAUCAGAAAACUAAAAUAAAAUGUAUUUUUAUGUAUGAUAAUGACA
This is a long non-coding RNA of Scleropages formosus (Asian bonytongue), 2029 nucleotides long. The record is from Ensembl. Lineage: Eukaryota; Metazoa; Chordata; Actinopteri; Osteoglossiformes; Osteoglossidae.